RNAcentral lists this ribosomal RNA (460 nucleotides) under uncultured bacterium. RNAcentral's name for it is "partial 16S ribosomal RNA". It matches the Rfam family "Bacterial small subunit ribosomal RNA", at positions 338 to 795 of the family's 1533-position model. The record is from RNAcentral.
CCUACGGGGGGCAGCAGUGAGGAAUAUUGGUCAAUGGACGAGAGUCUGAACCAGCCAAGUAGCGUGAAGGAUGACUGCCCUAUGGGUUGUAAACUUCUUUUAUAAAGGAAUAAAACGAGGCACGUGUGCCUUUUUGCAUGUACUUUAUGAAUAAGGAUCGGCUAACUCCGUGCCAGCAGCCGCGGUAAUACGGAGGAUCCGAGCGUUAUCCGGAUUUAUUGGGUUUAAAGGGGGCGUAGAUGGGUUGUUAAGUCAGUUGUGAAAGUUUGCGGCUCAACCGUAAAAUUGCAAUUGAUACUGGCAGUCUUGAGUACAGUUGAGGUAGGCGGAAUUCGUGGUGUAGCGGUGAAAUGCUUAGAUAUCACGAAGAACCCCGAUUGCGAAGGCAGCUUACUAAACUGUGACUGACAUUGAUGCUCGAAAGUGUGGGUAGCAAACAGGAUUAGAUACCCUAGUAGUC